RNAcentral lists this ribosomal RNA (325 nucleotides) under uncultured eukaryote. Its description in RNAcentral is "partial 18S ribosomal RNA". It matches the Rfam family "Eukaryotic small subunit ribosomal RNA", at positions 1470 to 1796 of the family's 1831-position model. The record is from RNAcentral.
CCCUUAGACGUUCUGGGCCGCACGCGCGCUACACUGACCAGUGCAACAAGCAUCCGUCCUUGGCCGACAGGCCCGGGCAAUCUUUGAACGCUGGUCGUGAUGGGGAUAGACUUUUGCAAUUUUUGGUCUUCAACGAGGAAUUCCUAGUAAACGCAAGUCAUCAACUUGCAUUGAUUACGUCCCUGCCCUUUGUACACACCGCCCGUCGCACCUACCGAUUGAAUGGUCCGGUGAAUAAUUCGGACUGCGGCAUUGACCGGUUCCCGAUCGUUGCUGCGGAAAGUUUAGUGAACCUUAUCACUUAGAGGAAGGAGAAGUCGUAACA